This 253-nucleotide ribosomal RNA is filed under the name uncultured bacterium. RNAcentral's name for it is "partial 16S ribosomal RNA". It matches the Rfam family "Bacterial small subunit ribosomal RNA", at positions 524 to 776 of the family's 1533-position model. The record is from RNAcentral.
UACAGAGGGUGCUAGCGUUGUUCGGAAUCAUUGGGCGUAAAGGGCGUGUAGGCGGUUUGUUAAGUCAUGUGUGAAAUCCCUCGGCUCAACCGGGGAACGACGCAUGAAACUGGCAAGCUAGAGUACCAAAGAGGGGGGUGGAAUUUCCGGUGUAGCGGUGAAAUGCGUAGAUAUCGGAAGGAACACCAGUGGCGAAAGCGGCUUCCUGGUCCAGCACCGACGUUCAGGCACGAAAGCGUGGGGAGCAAACAGG